UGUUCUGAUCGAUGCUCGACUAGCCAUGCCUGUAACGUUUCACUGCGCAUGCUCCGAUCAUGCCGAUGUGGCCGUUGUCUUCCAGACCUUCCUGAUGUCACCCAGAGUUUAGGAUGAAAUAAUGAAGCUUUUUAUGGUUUUACAGCUGUUUGGUCUUUAUAGUGGAGUCAGUGUGGAGGAAGGAGAUAGACUUAUCAACAAAUGUGAAGUGUGUAAGUUCUUGACGGUGGAGAUGCAGGAGGCGCUGGAGAGGACAGGUCGGUCCAAGGAGGUGCUGGAGUUGGGGGAGGUGCUGGACACGGCAAGAGUAGACGCAAUAUUAAAUAGUACACGUUGUAAGAACAACACACUCAUCAACCAUAAUUAUCCUUAAAUAGCUUUAGAAUGCUUAGGAUUUUAAAGCAUUGCAUCGUGGGUAGUUGAUGAUCUGUGUGUUGAUGUUUAGGGAGACCCGUUUGACUGAGGCCGUGGACAACAUCUGUGAACGCAUCCUGCAGUACAGCGUUCACGCAUAGAGGCCUGGAAGUCUACGCUACGCCAAGGUCAGUCCACCGCCUCAUUGUUACCUUUAAACAAUCCUCCACUGGUUUUACAAGUUUGGCCUAAAACCUUUGAAAUGUAAUUAUUAGAAGAUCUAUGCCUAACCAAACAUUAUUUGUUUAAUUAUUGUUUUUUUUAUUUGGCUUUCAUAAAUAAUUAUGCAUAUUUACAGAUAUUGUACAUGAUAUGAGUGAUAACACGUGUUGUAAAGGCUAUUUUACACAAUAGGUGUGGCUACAGAUUUAUACUUGUUCGUUGGUGUACCAUGGGCACUAAAAGUCUGGGAACCACUGAUCUACACAACUAAAAAGUACAAACAUGUAGAGGCAGCUCAGUGGGAGCACUAAACAGAAACUAAAAAGAGAAGGAGAUCAGAAACACAGAACAUAUAAAGAAGCAUAAACUGAAUAUAGGUCAUUUUUUCACUCCAGUGUAUUUUGCCAGAUCAGCAUUUCUUUGAGAGAAAUUGUCAGGUUUCCAGAUGUUUAUGUUUUGCCAGAUUAAACUGAUGCUGAUGUGUUUUAUUUUCAUAGCAUCAUAUGUGAGUGAGGGGCU
RNAcentral lists this long non-coding RNA (1095 nucleotides) under Gouania willdenowi (blunt-snouted clingfish). RNAcentral describes it as "lncRNA (ENSGWIG00000017512.1)". Lineage: Eukaryota; Metazoa; Chordata; Actinopteri; Blenniiformes; Gobiesocidae. The record is from RNAcentral.